AACGAACACUGGCGGCAGGCCUAACACAUGCAAGUCGAGCGAGGACUUCGGUCCUAGCGGCGGACGGGUGAGUAACGCGUGGGAACGUGCCCUUUGCUUCGGAAUAGCCCUGGGAAACUGGGAGUAAUACCGGAUGAGCCCUUAGGGGGAAAGAUUUAUCGGCGAAGGAUCGGCCCGCGUUGGAUUAGGUAGUUGGUGGGGUAAUGGCCUACCAAGCCGACGAUCCAUAGCUGGUUUGAGAGGAUGAUCAGCCACACUGGGACUGAGACACGGCCCAGACUCCUACGGGAGGCAGCAGUGGGGAAUCUUAGACAAUGGGGGAAACCCUGAUCUAGCCACGCCGCGUGAGCGAUGAAGGCCUUAGGGUUGUAAAGCUCUUUCAGCUGGGAAGAUAAUGACGGUACCAGCAGAAGAAGCCCCGGCUAACUCCGUG
RNAcentral lists this ribosomal RNA (433 nucleotides) under uncultured bacterium. RNAcentral describes it as "partial 16S ribosomal RNA". It matches the Rfam family "Bacterial small subunit ribosomal RNA", at positions 29 to 507 of the family's 1533-position model. The record is from RNAcentral.